ACUCGAGUGGCGAACGGGUGAGUAACACGUGGGUGAUCUGCCCUGCACUUCGGGAUAAGCUUGGGAAACUGGGUCUAAUACCGGAUAGGAGCCAUCUUUAGUGUGGUGGUUGGAAAGUUUUUCGGUGUAGGAUGAGCUCGCGGCCUAUCAGCUUGUUGGUGGGGUAAUGGCCUACCGAGGCGGCGACGGGUAGCCGGCCUGAGAGGGUGUACGGCCACAUUGGGACUGAGAUACGGCCCAG
RNAcentral lists this ribosomal RNA (241 nucleotides) under uncultured Actinomycetales bacterium. RNAcentral describes it as "partial 16S ribosomal RNA". It matches the Rfam family "Bacterial small subunit ribosomal RNA", at positions 89 to 334 of the family's 1533-position model. The record is from RNAcentral. Lineage: Bacteria; Bacillati; Actinomycetota; Actinomycetes; Actinomycetales.